Molecule: ribosomal RNA, 663 nt
Filed under: uncultured Conexibacter sp.
Lineage: Bacteria; Bacillati; Actinomycetota; Thermoleophilia; Solirubrobacterales; Conexibacteraceae
Description: bacterial SSU rRNA
Rfam family: Bacterial small subunit ribosomal RNA
Source: RNAcentral
CCUUGGGGGAAAGGAAGCUUCGGCCUCCGCAUCGGGAUGGGCCCGCGGCGCAUUAGCUUGUUGGUGGGGUAAUGGCUUACCAAGGCGACGAUGCGUAGCUGGUCUGAGAGGACGAUCAGCCACACUGGGACUGGGACACGGCCCAGACUCCUACGGGAGGCAGCAGUGGGGAAUCUUGCACAAUGCGCGAAAGCGUGAUGCAGCAACGCCGCGUGCGGGGAGAAGGCCUUAGGGUUGUAAACCGCUUUCAGUUGGGACGAAGCUUCAGUCGUUAAUAGCGGUUUGGAGUGACGGUACCUUCAGAAGAAGCGCCGGCUAACUACGUGCCAGCAGCCGCGGUAAUACGUAGGGCGCGAGCGCUGUCCGGAAUCAUUGGGCGUAAAGCGCGUGUAGGCGGCUGAGUAAGUCUGCUGUGAAAGUCUAGGGCUCAACCCUGGAAUGUCGGCGGAUACUGCUCAGCUGGAGUACGGGAGGGGCGAGUGGAAUUCCUGGUGUAGCGGUGGAAUGCGCAGAUAUCAGGAGGAACACCUAUGGCGAAGGCAGCUCGCUGGAACGUUACUGACGCUGAGACGCGAAAGCGUGGGGAGCAAACAGGAUUAGAUACCCUGGUAGUCCACGCUGUAAACGAUGGAUACUAGGUGUGGGGGGUGUCAACUCCCUCCG